This is a long non-coding RNA of Lates calcarifer (barramundi perch), 678 nucleotides long. RefSeq lists it as uncharacterized. The transcript is spliced from 4 exons. NCBI's taxonomy places the organism in Eukaryota, Metazoa, Chordata, Actinopteri, Centropomidae. The record is from RefSeq and is a predicted model, not a curated record.
AUGUAAACGCUCUCUUUGUGAUGUUGCCAAAGGGCACGAUGACACACGCUUAAAUGUGAAAGAAACGAGGAAGAGGAACGUCUACAAAAGAGUAAAUCCCAAGACGAGACCGCCUCAGUCUGAGCUGCUCCACAGGGGCGCAGCGGGUCAUGUGGCCUGUUCAGUGCAUCAUUGAGGUUGUGAAACUACCUGUUAAAGCUCCCACACUGCCACAUCACACCCACUUUACCAUCUGAGGGAAACCAUCCUGUCGACACUUUGAAAGUCUGGAAAUCACAACUCAGCUGCUCUGCUGAAGGUGUUUUCUGAAAAGGGUGUAACCCAGCAGUGCACAGCACACUCUGAAAACCAGAGGUACAGGAGGAGAGAUCCUGAGGGAGCUGAAGAAAAGCCUGACAUUAAAAACCACACAACUUCUCUGCGUUAAAAGGUCCUCCUGGGUUCACACCUGGAUUGCCACCUGAAUUUUUAAAAGUUUCUUUUUGAGCUGAAACAGCCCUGUCUUAAUCAUCCAUACUUUUGUGUUUUUCUCAAACACUUUAUUGCUCUAUUUGCUUAACAGCUGCUAAAGUUACUUUCAAGAUAAAGAUUUGAUUUGCAAAAUACAAUAAUCUAAAAUGUACUGCAUACUACAUAAAAAUAUAUUAAAAGCUUGCAAGUAUCCUACAAAAACCAUAA